Molecule: ribosomal RNA, 494 nt
Filed under: uncultured bacterium
Lineage: Bacteria
Description: partial 16S ribosomal RNA
Rfam family: Bacterial small subunit ribosomal RNA
Source: RNAcentral
GACGAACGCUGGCGGCGUGCUUAACACAUGCAAGUCGAACGGUGAAGCGCCUUCCUUUUUGGUGGGUGUGGAUGAGUGGCGAACGGGUGAGUAACACGUGAGUAACCUGCCCCCUUCUUCUGGAUAACCGCAUGAAAGUGUGGCUAAUACGGGAUAUUCUGGGUCGGUCGCAUGAUGGGUCUGGGAAAGAUUUUGUUUCGGUGGGGGAUGGGCUCGCGGCCUAUCAGCUUGUUGGUGGGGUGAUGGCCUACCAAGGCGGUGACGGGUAGCCGGCCUGAGAGGGUGGACGGUACCACUGGGACUGAGACAUGGCCCAGACUCCUACGGGAGGCAGCAGUGGGGAAUAUUGCACAAUGGGCGCAAGCCUGAUGCAGCGACGCCGCGUGAGGGAUGGAGGCCUUCGGGUUGUGAACCUCUUUCGCCAGUGAAGCAGGCCUGCCUCGUUUGUGGGUGGGUUGACGGUAGCUGGAUAAGAAGCGCCGGCUAACUACGUG